Molecule: transfer RNA, 72 nt
Filed under: Patescibacteria group bacterium
Lineage: Bacteria
Description: tRNA-Lys
Rfam family: tRNA
About the family: Transfer RNA (tRNA) molecules are approximately 80 nucleotides in length. Their secondary structure includes four short double-helical elements and three loops (D, anti-codon, and T loops).
Source: RNAcentral
GGGUCGGUAGCUCAACGGUAGAGCAAAGGACUCUUAAUCCUUUGGUUCCGGGUUCGAAUCCCGGCCGGCUCA